RNAcentral lists this ribosomal RNA (486 nucleotides) under uncultured bacterium. RNAcentral describes it as "partial 16S ribosomal RNA". It matches the Rfam family "Bacterial small subunit ribosomal RNA", at positions 30 to 507 of the family's 1533-position model. The record is from RNAcentral.
AUUGAACGCUGGCGGCAUGCCUUACACAUGCAAGUCGAACGGCAGCACGGGUGCUUGCACCUGGUGGCGAGUGGCGAACGGGUGAGUAAUACAUCGGAACAUGUCCUGUAGUGGGGGAUAGCCCGGCGAAAGCCGGAUUAAUACCGCAUACGAUCUACGGCUGAAAGCGGGGGACCUUCGGGCCUCGCGCUAUAGGGUUGGCCGAUGGCUGAUUAGCUAGUUGGUGGGGUAAAGGCCUACCAAGGCGACGAUCAGUAGCUGGUCUGAGAGGACGACCAGCCACACUGGGACUGAAACACGGCCCAGACUCCUACGGGAGGCAGCAGUGGGGAAUUUUGGACAAUGGGCGAAAGCCUGAUCCAGCAAUGCCGCGUGUGUGAAGAAGGCCUUCGGGUUGUAAAGCACUUUUGUCCGGAAAGAAAUCCUUGGCCCUAAUACGGUCGGGGGAUGACGGUACCGGAAGAAUAAGCACCGGCUAACUACGUG